Molecule: ribosomal RNA, 483 nt
Filed under: uncultured bacterium
Lineage: Bacteria
Description: bacterial SSU rRNA
Rfam family: Bacterial small subunit ribosomal RNA
Source: RNAcentral
AGAAUUUGAUCUUGGUUCAGGAUGAACGCUGGCGGCGUGCCUAACACAUGCAAGUCGAGCGAUUCUCUUCGGAGAAGAGCGGCGGACGGGUGAGUAACGCGUGGGUAACCUGCCUCAUACACAUGGAUAACAUACCGAAAGGUAUGCUAAUACAGGAUAAUAUAAGAGAUUCACAUGGAUUUCUUAUCAAAGCUCCGGCGGUAUGAGAUGGACCCGCGUCUGAUUAGCUAGUUGGUAAGGUAACGGCUUACCAAGGCGACGAUCAGUAGCCGACCUGAGAGGGUGAUCGGCCACAUUGGAACUGAGACACGGUCCAAACUCCUACGGGAGGCAGCAGUGGGGAAUAUUGCACAAUGGGCGAAAGCCUGAUGCAGCAACGCCGCGUGAGUGAUGAAGGCCUUCGGGUCGUAAAGCUCUGUCCUCAAGGAAGAUAAUGACGGUACUUGAGGAGGAAGCCCCGGCUAACUACGUGCCAGCCGCCGC